This 2114-nucleotide long non-coding RNA is filed under the name Eucalyptus grandis. RNAcentral describes it as "long non-coding RNA (EGRA_LNC001648)". Lineage: Eukaryota; Viridiplantae; Streptophyta; Magnoliopsida; Myrtales; Myrtaceae. The record is from RNAcentral.
AAAAAAAUUUGCACACACUCACAGCCAUCUUCCUCAUAAUUCACGCCACUAUCUCUCUCUCUCUCUCCCAAAAACAGAACCAAAAACUCUCUCUCUCUCUUCUCCUUUCUCUCGUAGCUCGAGCAGAAGUGAAGCCUAGCAGCUCCAGCGACUUUUGCUUCUUCUUGUGUGAGUUUGAAAGCAGAUUCUUGGAGAGCAUCGAGCCACCAGUAAAGCCAAGUAACUGGUAAGGAAAUGAUGAGUUCCUAAGCUAGAAUUUAUCCGCCGUUUGUCGAGGAAACUUGCGGAACUUGCUGAAUGGUGGAGGAUUAAGUGUGAUGAUUCUGUUUUGUGUUGAAAUAGGCUAGAUGAGCACUAAAUUGAAGAUGUGAGUCCUUGCAUGUCAUGAUAAGGCUUUGAAUGGUUAAAGAAUUGAGUGCGAGGGAGCUGAGUUUGGUCGAGUUGGAGGAAAGGCAACUGCUGAGUGAAGAUAGGCGUUACAAGUUGCUGUUGAGGUGUCGAGAUGCGAAUACUUGUCUUGAAUCGAGCUGUGGAUUGCUGUGUGUAGGUGAAGAGCCACUGAGGUCACUUUUAGAUGCUGUUGAAGAGGUGUCAGGGUACUAAAAGAGAAGUUAUAGAUGAGCUAAAUAGCUUAGUUGAGCUGUAUAUAGGGAUAGUAGUUCAGAAUGUUCUGGUUAGGAAAAAUAGAGAUGGAAAACUUACUAGUUAUGCAUCGCUUGAGGUUUUAAAAUGUGUAGUUAAAGAAAAGAACUAGUUUACUUAAGAGUGUACUAUAACUAUUUUUUAGGUUUCGACCUCUAGUUGUAGUGAGAUUCUUGUGAAAACGUGUUGGCGAGAUCAUUCUCCCUUAGAACAGUAAGCUGAUCUGCAGAAAACAGCAAAACCUUAGAUAGUUCUACGAAUUUUCUGUAAUUUUCUAGAUAGAAUUGGACCUUAAACCCUUCAUUAAAGUUGUAGGAAACAUAUUUAGGAACAACAUAUCAAAAUUUGAGAACAAACGGUCGAGAUUUGGGCAGUGAAAUGAUCAUUUUUCAGUAGACACUUAAUCUGGAAGUUGCUGCAGAAUUUAGGGGUAAAGACAGCAAAUUACUGCUUUUUAUACAAUAAGAUAUAGGCUUAGGUUUCUUCACAAAAAAUGUUAAUCUAUGUCUCUUCUAUACCAUACUAAAAUUUUGUAGCAUUUCAAUGAGAUUUGAUGCACGUUCUGCUUCUGUAAUUGAAACUACCUGUGUCAGCUUGUAUCCUGCCUUGAUCCGAGACUGUGCAAUGGAUGUUGUGCCUCUUGUACCUGAUUUUCAUGGCAUAUAGAGAGUCUAAUGGUCUUGUGAUAAUGGUUAGUUUGUGCAUGAGCAUGCCACUUCCAUAAUUUGAAGUGUGGUCAUUGUAUAGUUAUCAAUUGUGGCAUGUGUGUGCAAUGAGUAUGACAUGAAUGAAAUAUUGUGAGAGCAUGAGUCCUGCUUGAAGUGAUUGUGUGUACUCUUGAGGUCUUAUGCAUGCUGUGAGGUGAUACAAUUCAGAGGUUUGAUGUGUGAAAUGUGUGAAUUAAAUGAGUAAGAGAUUUCCAUCGGUACUGAGAUGCCAGUAAUGCCCCAGGGAGUGGGAUGCCCAUGCUGUGUGAUCUUGAAUGCCUCGGUUGAGUGAGAUAUCAGGAUGCCUCGGAGUUGAGAUGCCCCUAUGUGUGAUCAGGGAUGCCUUGGAGUGAGAUGCCCCAUGCCGAGUGAUCUUAGGAUGCCUCAGUUGUGUCACUUGUGUGAUACCGGAAUGCCUCGAAGUGAGAUGCACAUGAUAGUAAUAUUGUGGAAGUUCGGAUGUGGGAUUCCAAAAGUGACUCGAUCGAGCCGGCUUGCGUUCCGAUGGGUAAACUGAUCGAGGGUGGACUUGAUAUACACACUAUAAUGUACAUUUCACUUGCCGUAUGAGUUCGCCUGCUGCUGUUGCAUAUCAUCUUAACUUAGAUUAGGAGCAUGAGUGUACAUUUUAGUAUUCUUUUAGUUAUUCUUGUGACAAUCUUGCCAUAGUAGGCUGACUUAUUUGGUUGUGUUCUCUUGUUUACUUUGGCAACUGUGGAUUGUCCAGUUUAAGGUUUUAUUAUUUCUUUAUUGGGUAUUGCUCAU